CUCUCAAGAUGAGGGGGUUAAGGGAUGUCCCCAAACUGGGAGGGGAAUAAGGGGGGAAAGGGGGAGCCCUGAAGUCGGGGGGGGUCAUCAUGGGAGGUCCCCAAAAUGGUGUCACCCACAUACCCCCAUGUUCUCCCCCCCCAGGGCAGGAGGGGCCCAAAAUGGUGCCCGCCUGUGUGGCCAGCCCCAGAGCCCCUGCAGGAGGGAGGGGGAGGGCGAGUGAGGGAGGGACCCAGCCGCCUGGGUCCCCUGCGGGGAGUGGGGGUUCCCCAGGUGCCUGGGUGCCCCCCGGACGCCUGGGUCCCCCCCAGGAACUGUGCCGGCUGCCAGAGCCUGUCCCUGGGGUGAUGCUGCCCAGUCAAGGCUGCUGGUUGUGUCCCAGCUGUUGCGGCACAGCUCCAGCUGGCGGAAGAGAAGCUGCAAUGGCAGGAGCAGCAGCUGAGGCAGCAGGAGCAACAGCUCCACGGCCCAGAGGGAGAACAACGAUACCCCCCUAACGUCGUCCAGGAGCUCAAGCUGAAGGCCGGGGGGGUCUGGGGGGAGGCACACCCCCACUGUACCCCCAAAGUCACAGGGUUCUCUCCUUACCCAGAGCAACACCACCGCCUGGAGCAGCAUCCCCGCUUGACAAGAUGCUGGUGUUGCCCAGGUCAGAGGAGGUGAGCUGCUUUGGGGGUGCCCCCCCACUUCCUUACCCCAAUGUGGGGAGACUGCGGGGUUUUGAGGCCCCCCACGUGCCCCCCUGCCAAGGCUAAUGUUUGUAAGCGUCUCCCCCAGGAAAGAACUUCAGUGAGUCCCUCCCGGUGCUUUGCCAGGAAGGUGAAUGAGCCCGUGGCCCCCAACAACCGCAAGUAGCUGCCCCAAGCACAGGGUGAUUCUUUUAUAUACCCCAAUAAAAUAAGUGUUUCCUACGG
This is a non-coding RNA of Phalacrocorax carbo (great cormorant), 914 nucleotides long. NCBI's taxonomy places the organism in Eukaryota, Metazoa, Chordata, Aves, Suliformes, Phalacrocoracidae. The record is from RefSeq and is a predicted model, not a curated record.